UAUCGGCUUUGGAAAUUUGGGUAUUAGUUUACAAUUGAACUUGGCUGAUACCAAAAGCCGCGUAAGUGGGAGCCAUAGCUUUUUAAAUUUUACUGAAUGAGUAUUACGUAAAUGAUAGAAUGUUCAGAGUGCCAUAAUUCAUCAUCGAAUUCAAAACAUCUGUAUUUUUUCUAUCACUCAAUGCAUCUAUCAAGGAGACUAAAUUAUUGCCUUUUUGAAAUUGUUACAAAAAAAAGUCUUUGAACAGAAUAUUGUGGAAACCUACAAGUUGCUCCGUGUUAAUUCACCAAUCAAUCUCAUUCUAAAACAUCUAACUGUGUUUUCAUCGAUAAAAUCGAAGUAUGUGAAUGUAGUGUAGUCAAGGGAAGGUUAAUAGUGAACAUUCUUGGUAAAGAAGUUAGGUUUUCUCCUCCUUCACACACCAACCAAAGAUUUUUGAAAGAAGGAUGCAGAUAAUUCCAUAUCUAGGUAUAUUUGCCAAUUUACUGAAUGAAAAUCCUUCACCAAUUUUUUAAAAUGCAGAGUCAGGCACCUUUUGCAAUCUGGGUCUCAAGUCAGAAACUACUUUAACAAGUUCGAAGGGACCAGCUGUCAAGAUUUGUUUAAUGAAACGCCCUUUUAACACCAGGUCAUCUCUCUUUAUUUCAGGCGAACAAUGGUCUGCCUGAAUCAGAUGAAUCGAAGAUAGUCAAGAAGGUAGAAUCUGAGCCCAAAGAACAGAAGGAAGAAGUGAUUUUCUGAAAUUAAGCCGAAAGCUGCUCCUGUCGAGCCAGCGGCAAAAGAACUUAGUAAACCGAAAGAAAUCAUCUCCAACGAUGCUAAAACGAAUUCACAACCCAUCACCGAGUCAAAGAAAAGUGAUACAACCGUGAACAAUCGUGCACCUCCAAAAGCGAGUGAGCCAGUCAAACCUAUCAAACCUCAACUACAAGAACGGCAGGACCCCGAAGAGCCAGCAUCAGGUGACGGUGAUGACAGCGAGUGGAGCACCAAAGUCUCAAGAAUUGAAACCAUCUGAAGAGAUCCAAUCAUCAAAAGUGCUCAAAGCUAAAGAACAAAAACCUCCUGUAAGUAUCUCUCAAUCACUUAAAUCCCGGCUUUAACCGGAGACGAAGACCAUUAUAGGAUGCAUUUCUGUCAAAUGGAACUAUGUGCUUUAUGACGGAGCCUGGUAUGCAUUUGUAUUCUUUAUGGGUCUCAGGGCUCAUUGUCUUAAUGCACAUAAUUCCGUUUGAUAGAAAUACUUCCAUAUGAUUUCAUUUCCUUUUAAACGAUUAAUAAAAAAAGAAUGUUCUCCCCCUCAAAUCCCAUAUUCAGCAGUCCAUUGUAACAGUGAGGAGUAGGGUGGGGGGAAACCCACCCCCCCCUCAUUAACAAGGGGGUCCUACUGCCGCUGGGGGGGGGUGUUCCCAAACGGGGGGGGGGGGGGGGGUGAUGUGGGCGGGGGGGGGGGGGGGAUGGAAGGCGAUAUCAUGGGGGCGGAAAUGGGGGGGGGGAAUGAACCCGCCAACUCGAAAAAAAUUAAAAAUAAUCAAGACCAUCACACAAAAACAGGGGGUGAGGGG
Molecule: long non-coding RNA, 1565 nt
Filed under: Bemisia tabaci
Lineage: Eukaryota; Metazoa; Arthropoda; Insecta; Hemiptera; Aleyrodidae
Description: lncRNA ENSSWEETPG009276
Source: RNAcentral